AAUUAAACAAAUAAGGGUGUAUGGUGGAUGCCUUGACAGUUUGAGCCUAAGAAGGACGCAGCAACCUGCGAAAGCUUCGGUGAGGUGGUAAGCAACCUUUGAUCCGGAGGUGUCCGAAUGGGGAAACCUAUCUGUUUGAAGAACAGAUGAUCAGUAUCCGUGGUGGAUACGAGAUCGGGAACCAUGCGAAGUGAAACAUCUCAGUAGCAUGUGGAAAAGAAAAUAAGGGCAUUAUUUAAUUUGAACUUUUGAUAUUGAAGUUCAAAUCGAAUAUUGUCUCAUUCUCCUAGUAGUGGCGAGCGAACGGGGAGGAGUCUAAACUAACUUUGUGUCUUCGAGUCGAAGAGUAAUCGCAAGAUUAUUUCAAACUCGGAUUAAAGCUUACAGGCGUUGCAAGGAUUAGUGUUGUAACAAUCAUUCAUUAGAACUCUGUAAAGUUCUUGAAGAUUCAGUUGGAGCUGUUUAGCCGAAUGGUCUGGAAAGACCAGCCAAAGAACGUGAUAGCCGUGUAGCGCGAAAAACCUCUUAUAUCUUCCGAAUGGUUUGUUAAGUACAACUAGACACGUGAAAUCUAGUUGGAAUCUGUGUCGACUACGACAUAAGACUAAAUACUCAAAUUGAUCGAUAGUGAACAAGUACCGCGAGGGAAAGGUGAAAAGCAGCCCGGUGAGGGCGAUGAAAUAGUACCUGAAACCAUACACUUACAAUCGAGUGGGAGCUCCAACGCCGCAGGGUGUUGUGAGUGACCGCGUGCCUAUUGAAGAAUGAUCCAACGAGUUAGCCGUACGUUGCUUACUUAAGCAUUAUCAAAUGCGAAGGUAUAGUGAAAGCGAGCCUUAAUAGGGCGUAAAAAUCAGAUAUCAGAUAAUCGGAGAUUUUCCGACCUCUGAUUUCCGAUUUUAGGUAGCGUGCGCUAAACCCGAAACCCGGUGAUCUACUCAUGGUCAGGAUGAACGUUAUGUAAAAGUAACGGGAGGUCCGAACGCUAGAAUGUUGCAAAAUUCCGCGAUGAACUGUGAGUAGGGGAGAAAUUCCAAUCGAACUGGGUAAUAGCUGGUUCUCCUCGAAAUAGCUUUAGGGCUAGCCUGUGCCGCACGUGUUUGAGGUAGAGCACUGAAUCGGCUCUGCGGGAGCAAUCUCGUAGACCGAACCAAACUCCGAAUUCAAACACUUAAGGGCAUGGAGUCAGACAAUGAGGUCUAAGCUUCGUUUGUCUAAUGGAGAAGAAUCCACACCGCCGUUUAAGGUCCCUAAAUCAAAACUAUAGUGUAAAGGAUGUGGGAACACUUAUACAACCAGGAGGUUGGCUUAGAAGCAGCCAUCCUUUAAAGAAAGCGUAACAGCUCACUGGUCAAGCGUUCUUGCGCCGACAAUGUAUAGGGGCUAAGUUUUGUACCGAAGACGCGGAUCCAAGUUCGGAGGUCAGAAAUCAGAUGUCAGAGGUCAGAGAAAUCCGACUUCUGAUUAUCCGACUUCCGAUCUCUGAACUUGGGUGGUAGAGGAGCGUUGUAUGUGGGCUGAAGCAGAGAGGGAACUCUCUGUGGACUGCAUACAAGUGAGAAUGUUGGAAUAAGUAAUAUGUAUGCAUGUGAGAAUCAUGCACACCGAAAAUCCAAGGUUUCCUGGGCAAUGAUAAUCAUCCCAGGGUUAGUCGAUCCUAAGUUCGUACCCGAACGGGUGCGGAUGAUGGCAAAUACGGUUGAUAUUCCGUAACCGCUUAUAAUACUGAUGCAAUUACACAUCAUGGUAAUCCGAGCAUAUUUUGACUAUAUGUGUUCUUGUGUUCUUAGCUGGGUGCUUGAGGUAAACCCCAAGCGUCUAUGUGUCCAGUUCGGAGGUCAGAGAUCAGAUGUCAGAGAUCGGAGAAAUUCGACUUCUGAUUAUCCGACUUCCGAUCUCCGAACUUGGAUUACUGUAACAGUGAAAACAUGAGAGAAGCUCGGUAACGGGCAAUUUGGACGAACCAAGGUGUCAAGAAACGUUGCUAGGGAUUAGCGAAGUUGUCUCGCAAGAGGUGACUUUGCUAAAUAGUUAUAAGUGAUCGUACCGCAAACCGACACAGGUGGAUGAGUGCUAGAAUACUAAGGUGACCGGGACAAUAAUCCUUAAGGAACUCGGCAAAAAAGCAGGCGUAAGUUAGCAAUAUGCCUUGCCCAGCCCCACUCUUCAGAUUCUAUGAUGAAUUUGAGAGUAAUGUUCCAGUUUAAGACAAUACACUCUAAGACAUAGUAGUUUUUGAUGAGUGGAGCUGGGUCGCAGCGACUGACCCCUCCCGACUGUUUAUCAAAAACUUAGGUCCGUGCAAACCCGCAAGGGGAAGUAUACGGGCUGAUGCCUGGCCAGUGUUAGAAGGUUAAACUCUUUUGCGCAAGCUCAAGAGCCAAGCCCUAAUGAACGCCGGCGAUAACUAUAAUCGUCCUAUGGUGAACUAAAAGCUGCCAUAGUAAAACUUGGCCAAAUGCUGGGAUAUCUGGUGUAUCGAGCGCUACUAGGUUAUAAUGACAAUGGAUAUUUAUUCCUUGUCUUAUGAAACAAAGUAAAAAUGCGUCUCGUGCAGACAAUCAGCAGGAAAGGCUAAUUGGUUGGAUUUUAGGGUUUGUUGAUGGAGAAGGUUGUUUCUCGAUUAAUUUCACGAAACAGCCAGAUCGUCAGGAAGCCACUAGAAUCCGGAGAGGUUACAAGACUGGUUAUCAAAUUUCGCAAAACUUUGCAGUAGUGCAAGGUCAGCGUAGUCUAAGGUCUUUAGAAGUGAUUAAGAUUUUCUUCGGAAUUGGUAAAAUUUACCGAAAUCGAAGACAUGAUAAUCAUAAAGAAGAUUUAUACAGCUAUAAAGUUACUAAUCGCGAAGAUUUGAAACGAGUAAUUAUUCCCUUUUUUAAACGGAAUAAACUGAUAACCUCGAAGCGAAAUGAUUUUUUGUUGUUCGCAAAGUGUGUUGAGUUAAUGCUACAGAAUAAGCACCUCGCAAUUGGCGGAAUGCUUAAAAUAGCCAGACUUACACAAAAGAUGAAUCACAAAAAAUCGCGAGAUAAACUAAUUAGAAUCCUCAGAGACUAUACGCCAAGGUCGUCCAAAAGACGACAAGAUAUAGUCCCAACUGCAUAGCGAUAUGCAGGCUUAACAGCACUUAAUCAUAAAAGAUUAAGAAAGACCCGAGCGAAAUUCCUUGUCGUGUAAGUUACGACCCGCACGAAUGGCAUAACGAGUAGGGGACUGUCUUAAGGAUUAACCCGAUGAAUUUACAUUGACGGUAAAGAUGCCGUCUACCCGCAACAAGACGGAAAGACCCUAUGAAGCUUUACUAUAGUGUGUCAUUGAUGCAAGAAUUUUUUUGUUUAGCAUAGGUGGGAGCCUUCGAAGUACUGGCGCUAGCUGGUAUGGAGGCGACAAGUGAAAUACCACCCUGAAAGAUUUUUGUUUCUAACCUUUAUUUAACCAACAAAGGGACAGUGGCUCAUGGGUAGUUUAACUGGGGCGGUUGCCUCCUAAAUGGUAACGGAGGCGUUUAUUAAGGUGAGCUUAGCUCCGAUGGAAACGGAGUGUGACGCGCAAACGCAAAAGCUCGCUUAACUGCAAGGCUGGCACGCCGCGCAGAUACGAAAGUAGAAGUUAGUGAUCCGACCAUCCUUCGUGGAAGGGUGGAAGCUCAACGGAUAAAAGU
Molecule: ribosomal RNA, 3661 nt
Filed under: Candidatus Doudnabacteria bacterium RIFCSPHIGHO2_01_FULL_41_86
Lineage: Bacteria; Candidatus Doudnaibacteriota
Description: bacterial LSU rRNA
Rfam family: Bacterial large subunit ribosomal RNA
Source: RNAcentral